ACUACAAACCGCACUAUCGUCUCUUCGGGGAAGGAAAGUCCGGACAGCGCAGAGCAACGCACCACCUAACGGGUGGGGCACCGGUGCAAGCCGGUGUACAGACAGUGCCACAGAAAAUAACCGCCUGGCGGCAACGCCCGGUAAGGGUGAAAAUGUAGGGUAAGGGCCUACAGGCAGUGGUGGUAACACCAUUGUGGGGUAAACCUUGCGUGCUGAAAUGCCAUGUAAACGGUCGCUUAGGGCUGCUCGCUCAAGACCGAGGGUAGGCAGAUACAGGUAACGUGUGAACGUUAUCGCAGAUAAAUGAUAGUGGAUUCCGUGCAAACGGAAUUACAGAAUCCGGCUUAUAGGUUUGUAGUUUUU
This 363-nucleotide RNase P RNA is filed under the name Chitinophaga costaii. Its description in RNAcentral is "Bacterial RNase P class A". It matches the Rfam family "Bacterial RNase P class A". From Rfam's summary of the family: Ribonuclease P (RNase P) is a ubiquitous endoribonuclease, found in archaea, bacteria and eukarya as well as chloroplasts and mitochondria. The record is from Rfam by way of RNAcentral. Lineage: Bacteria; Pseudomonadati; Bacteroidota; Chitinophagia; Chitinophagales; Chitinophagaceae.